UACGUAGGGGGCAAGCGUUGUCCGGAAUCAUUGGGCGUAAAGCGCGUGUAGGCGGCUCGAUAAGUCUGCUGUGAAAGUUCAGGGCUCAACCCUGAAAUGCCGGUGGAAACUGUCGAGCUAGAGUACGGAAGAGGUGAGUGGAAUUCCUGGUGUAGCGGUGAAAUGCGCAGAUAUCAGGAAGAACACCCGUGGCGAAGGCGGCUCUCUGGGACGGUACUGACGCUGAGACGCGAAAGCGUGGGGAGCGAACAGG
RNAcentral lists this ribosomal RNA (253 nucleotides) under uncultured bacterium. RNAcentral's name for it is "partial 16S ribosomal RNA". It matches the Rfam family "Bacterial small subunit ribosomal RNA", at positions 524 to 776 of the family's 1533-position model. The record is from RNAcentral.